CCGAGAAUAUUCGACAAUGGACGAAAGUCUGAUCGAGCGACACCGCGUGAUGGAUGAAGUCCCUCUGGGACGUAAACAUCUUUUAUGAGGGAGAAAGUUUAUUGAUAGUACCUCACGAAUAAGGGGUUGCUAAACUCGUGCCAGCAGCAGCGGUAAUACGAGUGCCCCGAGCGUUAUCCGGAAUCAUUGGGCGUAAAGGGUGUGUAGGUGGCAUUGUUAGUCAGUUGUUAAAACCUGGGGCUUAACCCCAGUAGUGCGACUGAAACGGCAAAGCUAGAGGAUGGCAGGGAUGUAUAGAACUCAUGGAGUAGGGGUGAAAUCCGUUGAUAUCAUGGGGAAUACCGAAAGCGAAGGCAGUACAUUGGGCCACUCCUGACACUGAAACACGAAAGCGUGGGUAGCGAAUGGGAUUAGAUACCCAUGUAGUCCCUGAGCGGGCUGGCAAGGCGCAU
Molecule: ribosomal RNA, 452 nt
Filed under: uncultured bacterium
Lineage: Bacteria
Description: bacterial SSU rRNA
Rfam family: Bacterial small subunit ribosomal RNA
Source: RNAcentral